GACGAACGCUGGCGGCGUGCUUAACACAUGCAAGUCGAACGGAAAGGCCCCUUUGGGGGUACUCGAGUGGCGAACGGGUGAGUAACACGUGAGUAACCUGCCCUUGACUUCGGGAUAACUUCAGGAAACUGGGGCUAAUACCGGAUAGGAAUCCUUGCUGCAUGGUGGGGGUUGGAAAGCUUCGGCGGUUUUGGAUGGACUCGCGGCUUAUCAGCUUGUUGGUGGGGUAGUGGCUUACCAAGGCUUUGACGGGUAGCCGGCCUGAGAGGGCGACCGGCCACAGUGGGACUGAGAUACGGCCCAGACUCCUACGGGAGGCAGCAGGGGGGAAUAUUGCACAAUGGGCGGAAGCCUGAUGCAGCAACGCCGCGUGCGGGAGGACGGCCUUCGGGUUGUAAACCGCUUUCAGCAGGGGCGAAGCUUGUGGUGACGGUACCUGCAGAAGAAGCACCGGCUAACUACGUG
This 465-nucleotide ribosomal RNA is filed under the name uncultured bacterium. Its description in RNAcentral is "partial 16S ribosomal RNA". It matches the Rfam family "Bacterial small subunit ribosomal RNA", at positions 28 to 507 of the family's 1533-position model. The record is from RNAcentral.